CCUACGGGCGGCAGCAGUGGGGAAUAUUGGACAAUGGGGGGAACCCUGAUCCAGCCAUGCCGCGUGUGUGAAGAAGGCCCUCGGGUUGUAAAGCACUUUCAGUGAGGAAGAACGCCUGGUGGUUAAUACCCAUCAGGAAAGACAUCACUCACAGAAGAAGCACCGGCUAACUCCGUGCCAGCAGCCGCGGUAAUACGGAGGGUGCGAGCGUUAAUCGGAAUUACUGGGCGUAAAGCGCGCGUAGGUGGCUUGAUAAGCCGGUUGUGAAAGCCCCGGGCUCAACCUGGGAACGGCAUCCGGAACUGUCAAGCUAGAGUGCAGGAGAGGAAGGUAGAAUUCCCGGUGUAGCGGUGAAAUGCGUAGAGAUCGGGAGGAAUACCAGUGGCGAAGGCGGCUUUCUGGACUGACACUGACACUGAGGUGCGAAAGCGUGGGUAGCAAACAGGAUUAGAUACCCUGGUAGUC
Molecule: ribosomal RNA, 465 nt
Filed under: Vreelandella stevensii
Lineage: Bacteria; Pseudomonadati; Pseudomonadota; Gammaproteobacteria; Oceanospirillales; Halomonadaceae
Description: partial 16S ribosomal RNA
Rfam family: Bacterial small subunit ribosomal RNA
Source: RNAcentral